Molecule: ribosomal RNA, 407 nt
Filed under: uncultured bacterium
Lineage: Bacteria
Description: partial 16S ribosomal RNA
Rfam family: Bacterial small subunit ribosomal RNA
Source: RNAcentral
AUUGAACGCUGGCGGCAGGCCUAACACAUGCAAGUCGAGCGGAGCGGCGGACGGGUGAGUAAUGCCUAGGACUCUGCAUGGUAGUGGGGGAUAACGUCAGGAAACGGACGCUAAUACCGCUACCUCUCAGAUGAACCUAGGUCGGAUUAGCUAGUUGGUGGGGUAAAGGCUUACCAAGGCGACGAUCCGUAACUGGUCUGAGAGGAUGAUCAGUCACACUGGAACUGAGACACGGUCCAGACUCCUACGGGAGGCAGCAGUGGGGAAUAUUGGACAAUGGGCGAAAGCCUGAUGCAGCCAUGCCGCGUGUAUGAAGAAGGUCUUCGGAUUGUAAAGUACUUUAAGUUGGGAGGCGUUACCAACAGAAUAAGCACCGGCUAACUCCGUGCCAGCAGCCGCGGUAAUAC